Molecule: transfer RNA, 72 nt
Filed under: Nippostrongylus brasiliensis
Lineage: Eukaryota; Metazoa; Nematoda; Chromadorea; Rhabditida; Heligmosomidae
Rfam family: tRNA
About the family: Transfer RNA (tRNA) molecules are approximately 80 nucleotides in length. Their secondary structure includes four short double-helical elements and three loops (D, anti-codon, and T loops). Further hydrogen bonds mediate the characteristic L-shaped molecular structure. tRNAs have two regions of fundamental functional importance: the anti-codon, which is responsible for specific mRNA codon recognition, and the 3' end, to which the tRNAs corresponding amino acid is attached (by aminoacyl-tRNA synthetases). tRNAs cope with the degeneracy of the genetic code in two manners: having more than one tRNA (with a specific anti-codon) for a particular amino acid; and 'wobble' base-pairing, i.e. permitting non-standard base-pairing at the 3rd anti-codon position.
Source: Rfam by way of RNAcentral
ACAUCGGUAGCACAGUCGUUAGUGCAGCCUCCCCGAAAGAGAGAUACGCGGGUUAAAUUCCCGUCCGAUGUC